Molecule: ribosomal RNA, 428 nt
Filed under: uncultured bacterium
Lineage: Bacteria
Description: bacterial SSU rRNA
Rfam family: Bacterial small subunit ribosomal RNA
Source: RNAcentral
UGGGGAAUCUUGCGCAAUGCGCGAAAGCGUGACGCAGCAACGCCGCGUGAGGGAAGACGGCCUUCGGGUUGUAAACCUCUUUCAGGAGGGACGAAGGUCCGCCCGCGAAUAGCGAGGCGGAUUGACGGUACCUCCAGAAGAAGCCCCGGCUAACUACGUGCCAGCAGCCGCGGUAAUACGUAGGGGGCAAGCGUUGUCCGGAAUCAUUGGGCGUAAAGCGCGCGUAGGCGGCCCGGUAAGUCCGCUGUGAAAGUCAAAGGCUCAACCUUUGAAUGCCGGUGGAUACUGUCGGGCUAGAGUCCGGAAGAGGCGAGUGGAAUUCCUGGUGUAGCGGUGGAAUGCGCAGAUAUCAGGAGGAACACCAAUAGCGAAGGCAGCUCGCUGGGACGGUACUGACGCUAAGGCGCGAAAGCGUGGGGAGCGAACAG